Molecule: ribosomal RNA, 231 nt
Filed under: uncultured bacterium
Lineage: Bacteria
Description: partial 16S ribosomal RNA
Rfam family: Bacterial small subunit ribosomal RNA
Source: RNAcentral
GAUCCUGACUCAGGAUGAACGCUGGCGGCGUGCUUAACACAUGCAAGUCGAGCGAAGCAAUUUAAGUGAAGUUUUCGGAUGGAUCUUAAAUUGACUGAGCGGCGGACGGGUGAGUAACGCGUGGAUAACAUGCCUCACACAGGGGGAUAACAGUUAGAAAUGACUGCUAAUACCGCAUAAGCGCACGGUACCGCAUGGUACAGUGUGAAAAACUCCGGUGGUGUGAGAUGG